UCCCCUUCGCGCCCGCAGCGUCUGGGCCCGCCAGGGAGUGGGCGGGACCCCGAGCAGAAGGCGGAGGCUGCAGGCGCGGCUCCUGGCCACCAGACGUUCUUUGGAAGCGCGGUUCUCGUGGGUCUUGCGUGGAGGCAAGAGCCGGGUGAACCACUGAGUGGCAUUUCUGAGCAUUUGCCGGAUUUUGUCACUCUAAACCGUACUCGAUACAGUUUUUCCAAUGAAAAAAAUACCAGACUUGUUGCUGAAGACCCUGUGGGAUUGCAGACAGAAUAUGGGCCAAUACUCCUGGAGAUGGAACCUAGGAUCUUGAAUAUGCCAGGCAAACACUGUACCACUGAGCCACACCUCCAGUCCAGUGACUUAUUUCCAAAACCUAAGUCAUCAUGAGCAUCUCCCUGCACAUCAGACAGUACAAAGCCCGUGAGUCACCAGUGGAAGCCACGGAUGACGGUCUCUCUGCGAGAUGGUGGCGUUUUAAGGCAAGUGCUCUACACCGAGUCACGCCUCCAGCUCUUAAAUAAGAACACUGAGAGAUAUAUGAACUUUUAUCACUGUAUUUUAUUAUUAUGCACCAGGGACUCACAUUUGCUAGGUAAACCUUCUACCAUAGAACUCUAUGCCCUGCCCUCUUAUGACGUCUUGAGUUGAACUCUUUCGAAUGUCGAUGUUUUAGAGCAAGGGAGGGGGUCACCCAUGCCCCACUUGGCCUUCUUCAGCUCUUACACCAAGAAGCCAUGCCGUGCUGUGCUGCAGAGUGCGGUUUCCAGGAAAUCACUUCCAAACACAAGCACAGGAGCCCUUGUGGCUGUCUAGCACCUACAACUGCUGACCGCAGCAUAAGUGAGUGCAGAGGUGACUCACACCAAAGACAAGUGAAACCCAUGAGCUUGGAAAAGAGAGCAUUUUCCUGGUAGGCAGUUAUCAAACGAUCCGAAUGUAAAGUGGUCACUCGGCACUGCAGCAGGGCUCCUUCACAAACACAAAGCUUUAGUGAGGCUCUGCAAGCAUAGCAGUGAGGAGGCAGAACAGACCUCGAGGCAUGGUGGCCGUGACACAGUACCCAAGUCCCUGAUUUCUGUUAGCGAAGUCGCAGGGUCUGCCGACGCUACUGUAGGUCUGUUCCCUAUCAUCGCAAGGAACGAACGCUGGGGUUUGGUUAACGUUUAAUGAAAAUAGAGAUACUGAUUUUUUCCUGUCAGCUUCAGAGACCCCUAAAGUCUAUCCACAGAUGCCUGCAAUGUCUCAAGACCCCCCCUUAUCAUUUCACUUAGCCUUUAAAAAAUUAAAUUAUAAUUUCAAAAAUAACAAA
This is a non-coding RNA of Rattus norvegicus (Norway rat), 1312 nucleotides long. NCBI's taxonomy places the organism in Eukaryota, Metazoa, Chordata, Mammalia, Rodentia, Muridae. The record is from RefSeq and is a predicted model, not a curated record.